CUGCGAUUGCUCGCGGACGCUAGCAGACGCGCGGCAAACGGCGCCGAGCAAGUUGGCUUUUAUUCGCCCGGCCACUCGGUGAGGAGCCGUGCUCUCGCGACGGGACAGUCUGGUAGCCGCGGUCGUGAAUCUUUUACGAGCGCGUCGUGACCGUCUACGUCGUCGUGAUAGCAGCAGCGCGUUACGUCUCUCUUACUUUCAGUGCUAAAUUGUGUGUCCCGCUCUGCUGCGUGUGUCUUGUGCGGACGACCUUGCCCUCAGCCAGCUGCCGGAGCGAGGAGCAUCCCAGAGAAACACAUCGUAAAACGUGCAAUUGGGAAAUCACCGCGCCGCAAAAUGGGCUGUGUAUCGCAGUGCGCCAAGUACUUCCUCUGCCUGUUCAACUUUAUAUUCUUCAUCGCCGGAGGAGCGGCGUUGACUGUCGGUAUCUGGCUUUUCGCCGACAGGAGUUCCUUCACCAACUUGAUCGGCAAACUCGACCAAUCGGACAUCUUGAAUAAAACGGAUGCCGAUGUCAUCAAAGUGAUUGCCUACAUUCUUAUCAUAGCCGGCGCCCUCACGUUUAUUGUCAGCUUCCUUGGAUAUUGCGGUGCCAUGUUCGAGUCUAGAUGUCUUCUUUGUGUCUACGCCAUUCUACUCUCCCUGGUUUUACUCCUGGAGUUUGUAGUUUGUGGGCUCGCUUAUGGAUUUAGAGAAGCUGAUAAAGGUACGCAGGAUUUCUUGAAGUCAACCAUCAAGUACUACGCGACUACCGCCGACAAAGCUGAAACAGUGACAGUCGCAUGGGAUGGAAUUAUGACUGAGUUCCAUUGUUGCGGCGUGGAGAGUUAUCGAGACUUCAGCGAAAACACGAAUUUCACCGUAAACGGAAAGAUGGUUCCCGAAGCUUGUUGCAUAAAGGAGAACGGCGUUCUGAAGGACCCUAUCUGUCCAAUCAGUCCCACUGCCUCGAACUCGUAUUAUGAAACGGGUUGCUACAAGGCCAUAGUAAACGCCAUAAAGGAGAACGAGGCGAUAGUGAUCAGCGUGGCCGCUACUCUGCCUUUAAUCGAAUUUCUGGUCAUUGUUCUGGCGGUGUACCUAGUCUGCUUCCACUGGCGUCCGCAACAUGUUUAUCGAUGCGUAGAACCUUCUGGCAAGGAGUAACCUCGAGAGCGCAGAAUGUGCUAAGCUUUCUGCCAUGAAAAGAACGCAGUUCUUUUUCCUUUAAGGACUUCGCGAAUACCUCGACUGUGUUUUGUUAACUUGUUGGUGCUGCUGUUGACGAGGCAUUAAGAGCAUGGAACUGUUGAGUAGUGCCUCCUAGCACGUUGAGCCCUUUGUGCUCCUGUGCCUUGCUUGCUUGAAAGCUCUAGCCGCUGGCCCAGCCUAGGCUAGCUGAGAGAGGUCGGCCGACAGAUACAAAAUCCUGAAACGCUUGUAUGACGAAACGUUUCGGGAAAAAUUUGCCGGCAGUGACGUAGGGGAUAUUUUUUAGGUGACACACGCGCGCGCGCGCGCACACAUACACACACACACACACACACAAAACACAUUGUGCUUUUCUCAAAGAGAGGCUCCGUGUGCUUACGCGUCGCAGCGAAAUUACAAAAAGAGGGAACAAGUACAAAAUUAUUUUAGUACAAUUUUCGCUGCAGAAAGGUCUGUCCUUGGAAAAAAAAAGUAGAAGAGGAAUAUAAUCACGAGAGAACACACGCCCUAAGUUAUGUAUCUUGAACUAUCUCGUAACUCUGUGAAGUGUGUGUCACCUACACUUGUAUAUAAUUGUAUAAGAAGAAGAAGUAUAUUGAAUUGUAGCGGAUACAAAAUAUCCCCGGCGUCACUGUGGACUGACAACGUUUCGUAGUUUCUGCUGAGUGUUUAUAUCGUGUGGAGGUACAAGCGUUUAAAAUAACAGCCAGUUGAGGUAUCGUAUCCGUGUAUGUACCGCGAGAACGACAACCCGAUAACGAAGAACUAUAUUGUGCAACCAUGCGUUUCUUUUCGUUUCCCCGGCGGCGUUUGUCGUCUCACAGAUCAUCGGCGAAAGAAUGUCGGAUAACGGAUAGCAGCUGUGUACAUACUCGCAACUCCCGAUAUAUAACGUUAGAUAUUUUCAUAAAUAUUUUAGAUGCUUGUAUCAUAUAAACUCGGAAUACUCACGCGUUUCUCGUCCAUUCUCAGAUAGUGGACAGUGGAAUAUACAUAUAUGACGAUAUAAUAAUCGUAAUCAAGAAGUACCGAUGUAUUUUUUCUCUCACGGAUAUAUUUUCUGUACAUUCACCAUUCUCUUCUCCCUUUGCCUUUUUGUUUUUUCUUUCAACAUUUUUAUUGCGUUCAACGAAAUCGUGUAAGAGCUUCUUACGUACACUUACUACGUAUAUAACAAAUAGAGCUUUACACUCGAGGUAGCAGUCGGAGAGAUACAUGUGUCAUUGUCAAAUACUAACGAGUUCAUGCAACCAAUUAUUAUGAAACGCGAAUAUUUUUAGCAAAAUGAGAGAAGAGAUGUUAUUGAUGCGAAAGGUAAGGAGGUCGCGUAAAGUAAAUUCCUGAUUUACGCAUAAAAUGAAAGUCUCAUAUAUUUAUAUAGUAUAUUUUGACUUCAUGAUGUAUGCUUCUAGCUUUGUAUUUUCCUAAUGUACCUGGUUAAUAAAUCGGAGUCAGACGUAGCGGGCAAAUAUCUAAACAACGACGAGGCUACGUCGUCGCAUUGACGUUGACAGCGUAUGUUGGUGAAAGAGAAUUUUAUAUAUUUAUCUUACGUAUAUAUCGCGAAGUCAAAGUGCGUACGUAUUUAUAUUGAAUAUGAACUCUCUUUUUUUUGUCAAUUGCCGUGUAUGGAAAUGUGCUGCACAUCAUCGUUCUCAAUGAAGGAAUAACGAUCAAACCUCCUUUUACCUCUGAGAUAUGUGCAUUGAACUUAAAAAAAAAAAUAUAUCAAACAAAAGAAUAUUUUAUUAUACAUAUACUUAUAUACAUAUAUAUAUACAUCUAUAUAUAUAUAUAUAUAUAUAUACAUACGAACCAUGCAAUACACAAUAAUGUGGACACUAUAUAAAUGCGUUACUCGCAUAAAUGUAAUAUACGUGAGAUAGCGCACAGACUAAUCGGAGGAUUGAGGUAUUCUCUCAUUAACUCAUUAGUUGAUAGUUUAAAUACUAUGAUAUGUAGCAAAAUGCUUGUUUUUAUAAUGUGCAGUUUAAUUUAGAGGUGGAGAACACAUUUUUUGCAUGCAAUGCACUAUAAAAUAUUUAUAUUUAUUUUUAAACGUUUUUAUAGCUGUCCAUCUUGAAAUAAUGUAAAGGUCGUUUCUAUUGCAAUCCAACCCCUAUACGGAGGACAACGAUAGAGCGAAUAUUAUCCAGAAGAGAUUUUGUUUUGCGGAAACUAAAAUACAUUCCACGUAUAGACAGUUUGAAACAACAGAGCGUGUCCUUCUAUUGCUCGUAAAGAAUAUUAAUUUACAUUUACCUGUUCGGCUGUGCCACAAGAUCGCUUGACGUUGAGCCACAUAGGGAUAAAUUGCAAUAUAGAUCACCUGAUUCUUGCAAUGCAGUUUAAUAUAGUGUGUUCCAUAAUAUUGAAUGUAUAAAUAUCAGAAAAGCUGUUUAUCAUCGGCAAAAGAUUUAAAAACAUGAAGUAUAAGGCAUCAGUUUAGGAUUU
Molecule: RNA transcript, 3645 nt
Organism: Dinoponera quadriceps
Lineage: Eukaryota; Metazoa; Arthropoda; Insecta; Hymenoptera; Formicidae
Gene: Tsp66E
Gene name: tetraspanin-1
Exons: 10
Source: RefSeq, a predicted model, not a curated record